This is a long non-coding RNA of Drosophila montana, 457 nucleotides long. RefSeq lists it as uncharacterized. The transcript has 3 exons. Lineage: Eukaryota; Metazoa; Arthropoda; Insecta; Diptera; Drosophilidae. The record is from RefSeq and is a predicted model, not a curated record.
GACAAACAACUGUUGCUUCUGGGUGCACUGGAAACGUGUGCACAUCAAAUCACAACAAGAUAUUAAACAAAUAGACAAUUGGCUUUUCGCCGGUUGACGUAUCAUUUUCAUAUAUAUAUAACUCAGAACGGAUUGGCGCUAGAUAUAUUUUAUAAUUAAAGUUGACAAUAUUAUCAACUAGAUUGUUGCAAUUUACAUUUAAAGCUUCAAUAUCGGCCUUGCUUAUACUUUGAAAUACAUUUUUCAAAGUCGCGAUACGGAUGCUCCGACGCAAAACAGCCGAACCGACCGCUUCAAAAACAAAUUUUACAAUAACAAAAAGAACAAACUGUCAGCGAUGCAGCAGUAAGCUAGUUAACAGAGCAAAGCGCUGUUGUGGCCUGUUAUUUAGCAUAAAUAUGAUGUUUUUAUCCGGAACCGCGGGAUAAUAUUUUUUUAUGUUCAAGAAGCUAAAAAG